CAAAGAUAAUUUAAUUGUGAUUCCGUUCGUUUUCCUUGUUCUGUUUUUGCUCGAAGACGACCGGCAGGAUUGACAAAAACAGUAGGAAAUCCUUUGAAUCCCGUACCUGACUAGCAGAUUAAUCACUCGAGUCAAUUUUCGGUGCUUUUCAGCGGCUCACGGACAGAUUUUUCAACCACAAAUUGUUGACUGGAACCAGAACAAAAUGUGUCUCAUCGCUUUUCAAUUUAAAGAAUUUGGCUGCCAGAAAGUGAACUACCAUAAACUGGCCGGAAGUACAUUGUGGGAAAAUUCAUUUUCGGAAGUCGCCCAAAAACAUUGCAUUAGCAGGUUCUGUGAAAUGCAUUUUGCUGCAGUAACGGUUAUCAAACCCUGGAUCACGAGACCAAUUAAAAGCCGAGCAUGGCCCGGGAGCUGAAUCAAGCGAUGUUUCUACGCUUUCCGAAUCAGAGCCGGAUAGUAGAUUAAAACGAGAGAGUGAUAGAGGGAUGCCGGACGAAAAAAAUAUUUAAAAAAUAUAUUUGUCGUUUUGGAUUUCA
Molecule: long non-coding RNA, 539 nt
Organism: Uranotaenia lowii
Lineage: Eukaryota; Metazoa; Arthropoda; Insecta; Diptera; Culicidae
Exons: 2
Source: RefSeq, a predicted model, not a curated record